AACCUAUGGUCCACGCCGUAGGAUUGCCCAGCCUUCUGCAUGUGGAUCCGUGUACCAUUUGAAUUCAAAAAAGGAUCAAUUAAGGCCCAAACAGCCAGAGGCCUCGUUAGUCUCUUUGAUUCCAGCGAUUAGCUGGCACAGCCCUAGGCCUGCGGAGGCUAGUUUUUUUUCAUCGUAAUGAUGGAUGGCACACUUAUCUAAAAGCUUUAGCACUUGAGCCGAUGGAUGUUGGGCAGGACCAUGAAUAAAAAAAGCUAUCCUGUGCUCAUUCAUUUGUGGUACUGUUCAUCUUCCAGGCUGCUACAUAUAGCGGAUGAGGAGCCCAUUCUGCCAACAACUCCUUUGCUCGCAGCAUGAGAGCUCCAUCCGGCAUGGAUAGCGAAGAAGACACCUCUUUAGACCAUCAGCACAUGGCUGUUGAUCUCACUCCUGCCGGCAUGGAUACGCUCUCUAACAGAUCAAACAAAGGCAUCACCGAGCUAUCAGAUUGUUCUAAUCCUGGCUGUGGUGUUGUUGAUUCAAUCACAGCGAAUCCAGAGUUCUCAGAACUGCAUUCUGGAAGAUCGGCACCUAAGCGGAAAAGGUAGUACAUUUUGUUUUUUUACACUGGGAUUUUUUAACUAUUGUUAGAAGUAGUUUUUCUGUGGUGUACGAUGGUGAUAAUGGCAUAAUUUAUGAACUGUCAAGUGUCGUUUGUGUUGUUAAUUAGUCUUGUUCGAUAUUUACAGCGAGGUUUUCAAUAGUGUGAACCAUCAGCAAAACGUCAGGUUUUGUGUGUAAAUGACAGCUAGUUUUUUUAUUAGUACUAUUUUAGACUA
Aegilops tauschii subsp. strangulata is the source of this 818-nucleotide non-coding RNA. The record is from RefSeq and is a predicted model, not a curated record. NCBI's taxonomy places the organism in Eukaryota, Viridiplantae, Streptophyta, Magnoliopsida, Poales, Poaceae.